CUGACUUUGACUUGAAAAAAAUUCACAAAAAAAAACCCUUACUUUGAGCACUAGAACCACUUGGAUAUUACGUCGGGGAUGAAUACUUUGGAACUAAAAGUGUACCUCGAAUACAUAUCCCUGACACCGUACGAACUCUUACUUAGUUCCCCAAAAAAAACACCAGUAUUCUCUUACUGUGUUAAGGUACAUGGGAGCCGUUUUUCCAAGACCCACUACUUUUAAGGGGCUCUCCUUACCCACUCCCUUCUCGCCUACGAUUAUAUGCCCCUUAAAUGCCCACCGCACUCGUUCAUAUCUUCGACACGAACCUAAAAACAAAUUUCCCUUAGGAAAUUAUUUAUGUUAUUCCUGAAUGCAUUCAUCUUUGUUCCCAGCAAUCAGCUGUUUGAAGUUUCUAUAACAAGAUGGAUGACAAUGAACGAAGGUGACAGACAUCCCAUGAACAAGAAGAAAAAAUGAAAACCAAAUACACCAAAUAAAACAAAACAAAUUGGAAAAACCCUCCAUUUAAUAAUUUUAAUUAUUUUCCCUCAACAACAAAACUAUUGAAACAACAAUCCCAUCCGUAUUAACGUAUUCGCAGCUUGGCCUUGACCACACGGAUGCGUGUGAGCUGUGGCGAUGGUAAGAGCUUCUCAGCGGUGGGCGCUUCCUGGUCCAUUUAUCUUCGUCUAUAGCACGACAAGGCAGCCACAACAAAACAUCGGUUUUGCCAUGGUGUUAACGCGGCAGAGACGAUGGAAGGAUGCCUCUUAAGUACCAAUGUCUUCGAACGGUGGGGACUAACCCACUUACCCACACGCCGGGCAAUACCUUUCUUAGUGGUCUUUCCCCAUCUCUCAGGUGCAAAUUUUUAUUACUGGGCUUACUCAAAGCUGACGAUUCGAAGAUUCAUGGUUACACAACCUACUAAAACUAAAAUUUGGUGAGUGAUCUACCCACUAAUUAAGUUAAGCAUUACCUAUUUGUUCUUGUACUAGUUUAUUAACCGUAUUAUCAACGAUACUUCCAAUCUAAUUUUGUAAGGCGUUUUGUGUGCGAAAAAUAAAAACAUUGUUAAGAUACUGUUGUAAGUUUCUUGCUUUCUUAGGGGUAUUGUAUCCGUGGUUGUUUUCUUUUUCUUGGCAUUAGGAAUUUCGUCACCUUGCCCGGGGCUUCAAAUAGUUCUUUUCUUUUUUUUUUCAUUUGGAAGUAUUUUGUGCACCAUGAUACUGGAUCUUGUUUACUAAUGCAUCUCUUACUACCUAUUAGGCGCUAUC
Episyrphus balteatus (marmalade hoverfly) is the source of this 1262-nucleotide long non-coding RNA. RefSeq lists it as uncharacterized. The transcript is spliced from 3 exons. Lineage: Eukaryota; Metazoa; Arthropoda; Insecta; Diptera; Syrphidae. The record is from RefSeq and is a predicted model, not a curated record.